GACGAACGCCGGCGGCGUGCUUAACACAUGCAAGUCGAACGCUGAAGCUCAGCUUGCUGGGUGGCUGAGUGGCGAACGGGUGAGUAACACGUGAGUAACCUGCCCUCUUCUUUGGGAUAACGCCCGGAAACGGGUGCUAAUACUGGAUAUUCACUGAUUCUCGCAUGGGGGUUGGUGGAAAGGUUUUUUCUGGUGGGGUAUGGGCUCGCGGCCUAUCAGCUUGUUGGUGGGGUGAUGGCCUACCAAGACUUUGACGGGUAGCCGGCCUGAGAGGGUGACCGGUCACAUUGGGACUGAGAUACGGCCCAGACUCGUACGGGAGGCAGCAGUGGGGAAUAUUGCACAGUGGGCGAAAGCCUGAUGCAGCGACGCCGCGUGAGGGAUGGAGGCCUUCGGGUUGUAACCCUCUUUCGCUCAUGGUCAAGCCGCAGCUUUGGGUUGUGGUGAGGGUAGUGGGUAAAGAAGCGCCGGCUAACUACGUG
RNAcentral lists this ribosomal RNA (482 nucleotides) under uncultured bacterium. Its description in RNAcentral is "partial 16S ribosomal RNA". It matches the Rfam family "Bacterial small subunit ribosomal RNA", at positions 28 to 507 of the family's 1533-position model. The record is from RNAcentral.